RNAcentral lists this transfer RNA (72 nucleotides) under Ovis aries (sheep). It matches the Rfam family "tRNA". From Rfam's summary of the family: Transfer RNA (tRNA) molecules are approximately 80 nucleotides in length. Their secondary structure includes four short double-helical elements and three loops (D, anti-codon, and T loops). Further hydrogen bonds mediate the characteristic L-shaped molecular structure. tRNAs have two regions of fundamental functional importance: the anti-codon, which is responsible for specific mRNA codon recognition, and the 3' end, to which the tRNAs corresponding amino acid is attached (by aminoacyl-tRNA synthetases). tRNAs cope with the degeneracy of the genetic code in two manners: having more than one tRNA (with a specific anti-codon) for a particular amino acid; and 'wobble' base-pairing, i.e. permitting non-standard base-pairing at the 3rd anti-codon position. The record is from Rfam by way of RNAcentral. Lineage: Eukaryota; Metazoa; Chordata; Mammalia; Artiodactyla; Bovidae.
UCCCUGGUGGCUCAGAUGGUAAAGAGUCUGCCUGCAAUGCAGGAGACCCAGGUUUGGUCCCUGGGUUGGGAA